This 571-nucleotide ribosomal RNA is filed under the name Haptosquilla hamifera. RNAcentral describes it as "eukaryotic LSU rRNA". It matches the Rfam family "Eukaryotic large subunit ribosomal RNA", at positions 642 to 1162 of the family's 3401-position model. The record is from RNAcentral. Lineage: Eukaryota; Metazoa; Arthropoda; Malacostraca; Stomatopoda; Protosquillidae.
UCCUGACCCGUUUNUAAGCACGGACCAAGGAGUCUAACAUAUGUGCAAGUCAUUGGGCGAACUAAACCCAAAGGCGCAAUGAAAGUGAAGGGCCUCCCUCGAGGAGGCCCGAGGGCCGAUCAGUCCUCCGCCCUCGUUUCCAGCGGGGGCGCUGGCUGCGCAGGCUCGGGACUUGCACACCCCACCGUGGGUGGUGAGUACCAAGAGCAGACAUGUUGGGACCCGAAAGAUGGUGAACUAUGCCUGGCCAGGACGAAGCCAGAGGAAACUCUGGUGGAGGUCCGUAGCGAUUCUGACGUGCAAAUCGAUCGUCGGAGCUGGGUAUAGGGGCGAAAGACUAAUCGAACCAUCUAGUAGCUGGUUCCCUCCGAAGUUUCCCUCAGGAUAGCUGGUGCUCGCAACAGAGUUUCAUCCGGUAAAGCGAAUGAUUAGAGGUCUUGGGGACGAAACGUCCUCAACCUAUUCUCAAACUUUAAAUGGGUGAGAGGUCGGGCUUGCUUGACUGAAGCCCCGACAGUGAAUCUGGAGUGCCUAGUGGGCCAUUUUUGGUAAGCAGAACUGGCGCUGUGGA